CUAGAAUAUGAAGUAUCACAUUUACAUUACUUAGUUAUCAAUAUGUAUUGUGUAGCAAAAUUACUAGUUGUUUUAUAACAAAGUUUCAAGUCCAUGGAUGAUCUUAUGUUGGACCAUUGAUAAAUAAGAUCUAUGAGUUAUAGUGAUUUGUUAUAAGAAUGCAAUGAAGAUUUAAGGAAAUUCUGGUUUAUGAGUUUAGAGUUUGAGUUUGAAGACUCAGUUUACAGAACUACCAUUCUGAAUGUGUUGAACUCACCACCACUACCACCUUCAUCACAGACCAGUUCACACUGUCAAGUUGUAAUUGAUGUUGAGAACUGUGUGUGCUCAAAUGCUUUAAUUGCUAAGUAGAUGAGUUAGCUUGAUUAAAAUGGCAAUGAAUUUUCGUAUUUAUUGGUUUCAUUAAGAAGGUUAUUUGUGAAUGAUUAGCCUACUUUUAAAAAAGUAUAUGGAAAUUAGAGUAAAUUCUUGUUUUGAUGCUGACAUUCAUUUAAAUAAUUGAUUUAACUAGCGUUUACUAAAUACUGACUUCAGGCAUCUGGGGGGCAGUGCUACCAGCUAUAAUGUUGAAGAAGUCACAAACAGUUAUUCCUCAUCUGCAAAAUGGUAGUUGAAAAUCUUUUGAGACUAAAUGUGCCAGACAAAUCAUAUAGUGGGAUUUUUUUUAAAAAAAAGAUUCAGUUUCUUCCUUAGUGCUGUUUUGCUCAAGAACUUACUAAUAGUAUUUUAUUAAUUAUGAAAAAAUGUCAACCAUUAAUUAGAAGGAAAUGUUGUAUGUGUUUGUGUGUGUGUGUGUGUUGUGGUUUUGGUACUGGGGAUUG
This 821-nucleotide long non-coding RNA is filed under the name Marmota monax (woodchuck). The record is from RNAcentral. Lineage: Eukaryota; Metazoa; Chordata; Mammalia; Rodentia; Sciuridae.